Molecule: ribosomal RNA, 987 nt
Filed under: Hysterothylacium aduncum
Lineage: Eukaryota; Metazoa; Nematoda; Chromadorea; Rhabditida; Raphidascarididae
Description: eukaryotic LSU rRNA
Rfam family: 5.8S ribosomal RNA (bases 433-586)
Source: RNAcentral
AUCGAGCUAAGACUAAAAGUCUCCGAACGUGCAUGCCUUCCAUAUGCGCGUAUACGUGAGCCGCACAGUGAGCUGCACACAUGUGGUGGUGGUGGCCGUCAGCCGUGUUUUUUUGGCAGACAAUGGUCUGUAGCUUGCUGUGUGUUGAGGGGGGAUAGGUGACGUAUUGGGCUAGUUAGAAAGGUACGCCGCGAGCGCCUAUCCUCUCGUUAUUGGCAAAAACGGUAUCCAUUUGGUGUCUACACCCUACCUAGCUACUGCCUGGACCGUCGGUAGCUAUCAAAGGUGGGGAUAAAGCUCCUCGUCUUUACGGCGAGUCGAGUAGACUUAAUGAGUCUCAGCGAGGAGGCCACCAAAACCCAAACACAACCAGUCUUUUGUUUGAAAUGUUGUGAAGGUACUUCCUCGUGUUGUGCCUUUGAAACUGAGUAUAAAUCUUAGCGGUGGAUCACUCGGUUCGUGGAUCGAUGAAGAACGCAGCUAGCUGCGAUAACUAGUGCGAAUUGCAGACACAUUGAGCACUAAGAAUUCGAACGCACAUUGCGCCAUCGGGUUCAUUCCCGUUGGCACGUCUGGCUGAGGGUCGAAUUUGAAUAUCAAACAUCCGUGUGUUUUCCAACUCAUGGUGUAUUCGGCGAGCUAUGAUGGUGUUGUUGGCAAUGUGCUGCGUGUGUGUGUUGCGGCCUCUUUUAAGGAGAGGUCACUUCAUGUGCUCGAGGCAUGGCCGACGCGCCGACAUACCUUGCUAAGGCUUUGUGCCAUAUAUCGCUCGUAAUCAUUUGCUCCAUGCGAGGCGAUGAUGGCCGUCAAGUGUCGCUCUCUUAACCAUAGAUACGGCUCCGAGCACGUGUUUGCCAAUUGGCUAUCGGUUUGGGGUGCCCGUAUCAGAAUUGCUGGAAAUGGAAGAGAGGGUGAUGCUAGGUUGCUGUCACUAUGUUUUGACCUCAGCUCAGUCGUGACUACCCGCUGAAUUUAAGCAUAUAACUA